This 172-nucleotide ribosomal RNA is filed under the name uncultured bacterium. RNAcentral's name for it is "partial 16S ribosomal RNA". It matches the Rfam family "Bacterial small subunit ribosomal RNA", at positions 335 to 524 of the family's 1533-position model. The record is from RNAcentral.
ACUCCUACGGGAGGCAGCAGUGGGGAAUCUUAGACAAUGGGCGCAAGCCUGAUCUAGCCAUGCCGCGUGAGCGAUGAAGGCCUUAGGGUUGUAAAGCUCUUUCGUGGGGGAAGAUAAUGACUGUACCCCAAGAAGAAGCCCCGGCUAACUCCGUGCCAGCAGCCGCGGUAAU